This 144-nucleotide ribosomal RNA is filed under the name uncultured bacterium. Its description in RNAcentral is "partial 16S ribosomal RNA". It matches the Rfam family "Bacterial small subunit ribosomal RNA", at positions 365 to 524 of the family's 1533-position model. The record is from RNAcentral.
UCCGUCCAUGCGGCGAGCCUGACGGAGCAUACCGCGUGGAGGAGGAAGGCCCGUGGGUCGUAAACUCCUUUUCUCAGAGAAGAACACAAUGACGGUAUCUGAGGAAUAAGCAUCGGCUAACUCCGUGCCAGCAGCCGCGGUAAU